Molecule: ribosomal RNA, 379 nt
Filed under: uncultured bacterium
Lineage: Bacteria
Description: bacterial SSU rRNA
Rfam family: Bacterial small subunit ribosomal RNA
Source: RNAcentral
GAUGAACGCUAGCGGCAGGCUUAAUACAUGCAAGUCGAGGGGCAGCGGGGGUAGCAAUACCUGCCGGCGACCGGCAAACGGGUGCGGAACACGUACACAACCUUCCUUUAAGUGGGGGAUAGCCCAGAGAAAUUUGGAUUAAUACCCCGUAAGAUAAUAGAGUGGCAUCACUUUGUUAUUAAAGCUCCGGCGCUUGAAGAUGGGUGUGCGUCUGAUUAGGUAGUUGGUAGGGGUAACGGCCCACCAAGCCACGAUCAGUAACUGGUGUGAGAGCACGACCAGUCACACGGGCACUGAGACACGGGCCCGACUCCUACGGGAGGCAGCAGUAAGGAUAUUGGUCAAUGGACGCAAGUCUGAACCAGCCAUGCCGCGUGGA